Molecule: long non-coding RNA, 519 nt
Filed under: Hordeum vulgare
Lineage: Eukaryota; Viridiplantae; Streptophyta; Magnoliopsida; Poales; Poaceae
Description: long non-coding RNA (HVUL_LNC019694)
Source: RNAcentral
CCGAAGUUACCACUUGUAUUAAAGAUAACACAGACUCCAAGAGCCGGAUAUUCGAGUUCACCUUUACUCCUGAUGAAGAUCUUGCCCAGCGACUGAUCUCCUUGAUGGAAGUACUUACAUUCUUGAGUUGCUUCGAUGGCGAACAGAGGUAUGGAUGCUCCCAGCCAUUGAUUUCUUGCUUAGGGAACCUUGCUUCUGAUUCCGGAGGAUCCUGAUGCUGCUGAAGCUUCUUUCCCUGUGUGAAUUCAGGAGCUGCUGUGGCUGCUAGUGCUGGGCUGUGAUCACCGGCUCGUCCGGCUGGAGCUACGAGCCCGGUCCCGGCCGUAAGUGAGCUUGGGUUGCUGCUGCCCACGGAGAUGUAGGAGCUGGGGCAGCUGCUCAGCGUCAGAGUAGAACCAUAGCUGCUUAUACUGGAACCAGGGCUCGUUGGAAACGCCAUUUCCAACUCGGUGAUUCUGCAAGGGCUGAUGUUUUGCAACAGCAAAUAGCUACUGAGUUCUGUAAGCUUCUUCUCGAUCG